This 204-nucleotide long non-coding RNA is filed under the name Spirodela polyrhiza (greater duckweed). RNAcentral's name for it is "long non-coding RNA (SPOL_LNC002052)". Lineage: Eukaryota; Viridiplantae; Streptophyta; Magnoliopsida; Alismatales; Araceae. The record is from RNAcentral.
GGUGGUGGAGUUAGAGCAAAUAUAAGGAAGACCUAUCAACAACUAAGAGUCAAUGGGCACAUAGACGAUUAGAGUUGGAGAGUAAUGGCCCUCUCAAAAGGUUACUAAAGAUUUAGGGAUUAAGGUUACUAUCAAAAUCUAAUCAUGGUUUGUUAUCCUUAAUUUUUUUUCUUUGAAUUCUAUUUUCAUCUCUCGUGGCUCUCA